GAUGAACGCUGGCGGCGUGCCUAAUACAUGCAAGUCGAGCGAACGGACGAGAAGCUUGCUUCUCUGAUGUUAGCGGCGGACGGGUGAGUAACACGUGGAUAACCUACCUAUAAGACUGGGAUAACUUCGGGAAACCGGAGCUAAUACCGGAUAAUAUUAUGAACCGCAUGGUUCAAAAGUGAAAGACGGUCUUGCUGUCACUUAUAGAUGGAUCCGCGCUGCAUUAGCUAGUUGGUAAGGUAACGGCUUACCAAGGCAACGAUGCAUAGCCGACCUGAGAGGGUGAUCGGCCGCACUGGAACUGAGACACGGUCCAGACUCCUACGGGAGGCAGCAGUAGGGAAUCUUCCGCAAUGGGCGAAAGCCUGACGGAGCAACGCCGCGUGAGUGAUGAAGGUCUUCGGAUCGUAAAACUCUGUUAUUAGGGAAGAACAUAUGUGUAAGUAACUGUGCACAUCUUGACGGUACCUAAUCAGAAAGCCACGGCUAACUACGUG
RNAcentral lists this ribosomal RNA (497 nucleotides) under uncultured bacterium. Its description in RNAcentral is "partial 16S ribosomal RNA". It matches the Rfam family "Bacterial small subunit ribosomal RNA", at positions 28 to 507 of the family's 1533-position model. The record is from RNAcentral.